AUGUUAGAAUCCCAUAACCAGAUUCUAUCCAGUGUGUCCGGUGGUAUACACUGGUUCUUGGCUCUCUACAUCAGGCUAUCUUUGUCUUGUCCCCUAGGGUUCCCUCCCUCCCUCCCCCGCCGCCACCCGCGAGGCGCAGGGGAAGGCCCCAAAUCUCCGCCGCCGAACUCCCCUCCGCCUCCCCCCUCCUCCCUCCCCGCCGCCAAAGGGCACGGUCGUCGCCGGCGGCGGCGGGGCCUUCUCGUCCCCCACGCGUGGGGGUUGGCACGAACCCGAUCUCGUGGGCGGGGCGCUGCGCUCGGUGUCAGGCGUGGUGGCGCGGCGGCGCCCCGGAGCAGGCUGGCGAUGGUGGCAUGGCGUCGGGCGGCAGAUGGCAUGGUGGUGGUGCGGGCUGGUGUGGCGUCGGCGGCGGUGUUUCUGGCAGCGCAUCGGUGUCGCGUCCGGCGCCGUGGGUUUGCGGCUGACCUGGUCGCGGGCGGCCUCUCACCAUGGUCUUUGGUGGGGGACGGCGCAGCAGCGGAGGUGGUGAGCUGCUCCCUCCCAGUCGGGCCCUCGCGGUUGGGUGGCGACGCUUUGCUCGGGCGGGUCCCCCUGGUGGCGUCUCUGGGCAGCGGCGGCGACAGCUCGGCCACCCUCCCUCUCCGGCCUCUGGCGGCGGCCGGUGCCUCCCGGUGCCCUGGGCCUUCGACGCGGGGGCGGAACUCGGUUUCAGGGGGGGAGCUGGAGCGGACAAGGCGUCGGUCGUGCCCAUGGGCGGGGCGGCGGUCCUGGCGGUGGGAGUUGUGCGUUGGUCGUGGGCGGGCUGCGCGGCUCGGAUGCGGGCAGGCAACCAUGGCUGCUUGGGCGGCAUGGCUGCGGGUGUUGACGGACCGGGGCGGCGAAAGAGGUGAAGCACCGGGGUACAUCACCUACCUAGUCUGUGUACUGGUCGACGGUGACGGCGUCCAUGGACGUCGUGUCCUCCUUGCAGACUCCGUCGUGGUGCUUCUACCCCUUCCAUCUUACUCCGGGUGA
RNAcentral lists this ribosomal RNA (1014 nucleotides) under Triticum aestivum (bread wheat). Its description in RNAcentral is "partial small subunit ribosomal RNA". Lineage: Eukaryota; Viridiplantae; Streptophyta; Magnoliopsida; Poales; Poaceae. The record is from RNAcentral.